RNAcentral lists this long non-coding RNA (358 nucleotides) under Phoenix dactylifera (date palm). RNAcentral's name for it is "long non-coding RNA (PDAC_LNC011446)". The record is from RNAcentral. Lineage: Eukaryota; Viridiplantae; Streptophyta; Magnoliopsida; Arecales; Arecaceae.
CUAAUGUUCUUGAAAUAUGUGUUUUCAAUCUUAAUAAUUUAAGAUGAGCUACAAUGUAGAAGAUGCAUAUCUCAAAUUAUAAUCCUGAAAGCUUCCUUGAAAAUUUUUAUGAAAUUCAGAAUCUGAUUUUGUAUAAAAGCUUAAACUUAAUUUAAAAAAUGCUUCUAUCAUUGCAUUUUUGUAACUUUCAUUAUAUGCUUCAAUGAUUGCAUCAUUUUGGGGAAUAACUCAAUAUGAUUCCUGGAUGAAAACUACGGUCUAAGAAAAAUAGAAUUAAUUUUGAUGCCUUGAUUGUUUGCUCCGAUACGCAUCUGAAACAUAUCAUUUUCUAUCUUAUAAGUUUAUUAAAAUUGGUCUA